RNAcentral lists this unclassified non-coding RNA (153 nucleotides) under uncultured Dothideomycetes. RNAcentral describes it as "sequence contains ITS2". Lineage: Eukaryota; Fungi; Ascomycota; Dothideomycetes. The record is from RNAcentral.
CAACCCUCAGGCGGCUCUUUUGGUCUGUCUGGUCUUGGGCAUCGUCCAAGGACGUGUCUUAAAAGAAUUGGCGGCGUAGGUGCCGGCUUCGAGCGUAGCAGAUGCGAUUCGCUUUGGAAGCCGGCGCUCACCUUGCCAGAAUAAUUUCUGAAU